Molecule: long non-coding RNA, 1618 nt
Filed under: Zonotrichia albicollis (white-throated sparrow)
Lineage: Eukaryota; Metazoa; Chordata; Aves; Passeriformes; Passerellidae
Description: lncRNA (ENSZALG00000011917.1)
Source: RNAcentral
AUGGGCCGGUGCCAGGCUGGGAAGGGAAUGGCAGGGCUGCCCUGGGCAGCAGCAGCAGCAGCAGCAGCAGCAGCAGCAGCAGCAGCAGCAGCAGCAGUCAGUUCCACUCUCAGCAGCAGGGAGGGGAUGGAGGCUCUCCCUGAGCAGCCUGGGAUCAGUUCUGAGCCUGGAUUGGGGGCUCUCCUUGCCUGGGAUGGGGAGCUGGGCAGUUCUGGAGCCCUCAGUGAGGUUUCCCACAAGGACAAAGCUCUUCCCACCGUGGCAGGGUGGGGAACCCUCAGACACACGGCAGUGCAGCUCAGGAGAUGCUUUCAGUCCAAGGCAGCGUGGAGCCAGCACGAGGAGCUGCAGAGAUGCUCUGGGAAGGCUCCAGGUCCAUCCCCAGCCCCUCCUGCCCACCCGAGCAGGAUUUGGCUCUGGAGCACAGCAGAGAGCCCAGAGCCAGGCUGGCUCCGAGGGGACACGGGGGUGACAGCAGGGAUGUCCCCAUGCAGGUGGAUCCGUGGGACUGAGCAGCUGUGGGGCCACCCCUCACUCAGCCUCUCUGGGGAGGCAGUGGUGAGGAGGAAAAGGGGAAUUGGUUCUCAUGGGCUUUGGGGAGGCCACGCUGGGACUGGAAAGCUUCAGGAGUGACCCAACUCCAGGCAGCCCAGGGAGCUUGUGGCACACCCCAAUCCGUGCAUGCCAACCCCUGGCAUUUGGGAAAACUCCCUCCCUGCCUCUCCAGCAGGAGCUGUCACUGAUCCCAGCCUGGGCGUGAAGCUCUUGCAGGCUCAGCCUCUUGGCUCUGCAGUCACCAGCAGAGAUUCCUCACCCCACCAGCAGCAGCCUGAGCAGAGCAGAUCCAAUCUGAGGUCAAGUUCCCACUAAAAUCAAGUGGCUGGCAAGGAAAACUUCGUUACGGGCGGCAGCAGCAGCGGCGGGGCUGAUGUUUAUUAGUCAGCAAUGAACAGCAGAAGGUUUUAUUUUGCUGCUUUUACAGCACUGCUGGGCCCUGGCUGCAGCUCCCUCCCAGCACAUUUUGCUUUUCCUGCCCUUUUUUCCUCGGUGAGCUGUGGAGAGGUGGCCAAGGAGAGCCCCCAGGUGCCCCUGCCCUGCUCCAUCCUGCCUCAGUGGCUUUGGGAUGGUGGUGGCAGCGCCCCACACCCCUCAUUCCUCACCUGCAGCCCCUGAUCCCAUCCCAGAAAGGCGGGGACACAUUUCAGAUGCCACUCUGAGCACCCCAAGUGUCACUGACAAAGCUGGGCAGGGAAUUCCCAGGAUUUCUGCAUUUUUCCGGGGUUAAUCAUAACAAACCAGUUCUGAGGGAGGUGCAGCUGCUGGGAACAGGGGUCUCCCCCUCAUCCAUUGGGAUUUUGGUGGCGGGGCUUGCACGGACACGGCUGGGAUGGUUUGGCCUGGCUGCAGGUGAGUUCUGGGGGCUCUGGACAUCCCUCUGCCCAUCACACAGCCCCUUCCCCAUCACUCACACAGCCCUCUACCCAUCACUCACAUAUCCCCUUACCCAUCUCACAGCCCUCUACCCAUCACACAGCCCCUUCCCCAUCCCACAGCCCCUUCCCUGUUGCACAGCCCCUUCCCCAUCACAUAUCCCCUCCCCAUCACUCUCACAGCCCCC